GUCUAUAGCCAUGCCACCCUGAACAAGCCCGAUGUGUGAACUUGGGAGCUAAGCAGGGUCAGGCCUGGUUAGUACUUGGAUGGGAGACCAUCGAGGAACACCAGGUGCUACAGGCA
This 116-nucleotide ribosomal RNA is filed under the name Pteropus alecto (black flying fox). The record is from RNAcentral. Lineage: Eukaryota; Metazoa; Chordata; Mammalia; Chiroptera; Pteropodidae.